Molecule: transfer RNA, 72 nt
Organism: Aspergillus aculeatus ATCC 16872
Lineage: Eukaryota; Fungi; Ascomycota; Eurotiomycetes; Eurotiales; Aspergillaceae
Rfam family: tRNA
About the family: Transfer RNA (tRNA) molecules are approximately 80 nucleotides in length. Their secondary structure includes four short double-helical elements and three loops (D, anti-codon, and T loops).
Source: Rfam
GGGUCGGUAACUCAGGGGUAGAGUGUGGGACUGCAGAUCUCACGGUCACGCGUUCAAAUCGCGUUCGGCCCU